UAGGGAAUCUUCCACAAUGGACGCAAGUCUGAUGGAGCAACGCCGCGUGAGUGAAGAAGGUUUUCGGACCGUAAAGCUCUGUUGUUGGUGAAGAAGGAUAGAGGUAGUAACUGGCCUUUAUUUGACGGUAAUCAACCAGAAAGUCACGGCUAACUACGUGCCAGCAGCCGCGGUAAUACGUAGGUGGCAAGCGUUGUCCGGAUUUAUUGGGCGUAAAGCGAGCGCAGGCGGAAGAAUAAGUCUGAUGUGAAGCCCUCGGCUUAACCGAGGAAUUGCAUCGGAAACUGUUUUUCCUUGAGUGCAGAAGAGGAGAGUAGAACUCCAUGUGUAGCGGUGGAAUGCGUAGAUAUAUGGAAGAAUACCAGUGGCGAAGGCGGCUCUCUGGUCUGCAACUGACGCUGAGGCUCGAAAGCAUGGGUAGCGAACAGGAUUAGAUAC
Molecule: ribosomal RNA, 438 nt
Filed under: uncultured bacterium
Lineage: Bacteria
Description: partial 16S ribosomal RNA
Rfam family: Bacterial small subunit ribosomal RNA
Source: RNAcentral